RNAcentral lists this unclassified non-coding RNA (217 nucleotides) under Hevea brasiliensis (rubber tree). The record is from RNAcentral. Lineage: Eukaryota; Viridiplantae; Streptophyta; Magnoliopsida; Malpighiales; Euphorbiaceae.
AAAAAAAACACUUGAAAACCUGUUAUUGCAGGUUAAAGGGACUUUUUCUGUAAUAAAACUGAAGUUUAAGGAUUUUAUUUUAACAAAAUGAAGUUGAGUGACUGAAAUGAAAUAACUACCAAAGUUGAGGAAUGGUCGGUGUAGUUUAUCCUUAAUUGUCCUAUAGUAUUUGCUUUUAUAAGUUUAUAGGCUGUGAUGGCUUAGGGAUGAUUGUGGA